This is a long non-coding RNA of Sphaeramia orbicularis (orbiculate cardinalfish), 309 nucleotides long. RefSeq lists it as uncharacterized. The record is from RefSeq and is a predicted model, not a curated record. The transcript has 3 exons. Lineage: Eukaryota; Metazoa; Chordata; Actinopteri; Kurtiformes; Apogonidae.
CUAUCUCUGCCUUUCCAUCCUGUACAGAUCCUUCUCUCCCUCCUUAGUGUCCGACCUCACAUAUAAACCAUCAUACACCCUGUGCUUGGCCUUUGCCACCUCUGCCAUCAUCUGACGCUGUGUCUCCCUGUACUCCUGUCUUCUCUCUUCAGUCUUCCCCGUCCCACUUCUUCGUUGCUAACCUCUUUCUCUGUCUGCACUCUUGCCCUUCCUCGUUCCACCACCAAGUGUCCUUAUUUAGUUUCCUUCCAGAUGACACACCAAGUACUCUCCUACCUGUCUCCCUGACCACUUCAGCUGUCAGUUGUA